ACAGGGAUAUAAAGCUAUUGCAUGCGAUGCUUAUUCUAUAGGCGUUUGCCCUUAAAUGCAAGCUAAGCCCGUCGAUCUAAUCUAACUCAUUGCUUGAACGUACUUCGGUACUUCAGCUGGGUGGAAGUGUAAGAAUCGAAUAACAAUCUUUAUGUUAGUUACAAUAACCUUAUAAUUGUAAUAAACCUAUUACAUUAUAAUGGGCGGUUUACUACUUUUAACAAAAUAAAAGUAAUACAAUACGCAGCGCUUUAGCGUUGGAAAGCAAACGUCUGUAGUUUUACUACUGCCUUAGAGUGUGACAGCCACGUUCUAAAUUGCUAUUCUAUUAAAAAAAGUAAUAACCGUUAAUUGUUAUAACCGUAAUUCGUGAUUGUUGAUACCAGAGUCGAGUUGUUUGGGACUACAGCUCAAAUCGUUUGGAGGUGGUAAUGACACAUCUAAGGCUAAAUAUUGGUGUUUACUUAUAACAUGCAAUGGAAACCGAUAGCAAACAAGUACCGUAAGGGAACGAUGAAAAGCACCCUUCAUAGCGCACUAUGUUAUUAUUUCUUUUUUUUUAAAAGAUCUAAUACAUACUAAGCUCCAAAGGGAGUGAAAGAGAGAGUGAAAUCGCCUAACAUUAUAUUAAAUCGCUAAUAGCGCUCUUUAACAAAUGUUAAUACAAUUCAGCGAAGUACAAUCGGACAGAGUGUCUUUGUAUCUCUUAUUUUAAGAGAUUAUAAGCGGGCUAUUACAUUUUAAAAAAUGUAAUAUGUUACGCUAUAACAAUCUUAUUGUUAUUUUAACGAUAAGAUAAUCAGGACACAACUAUCUGACCCGUCUUGAAACACGGACCAAGGAGUUCAACUGGACUGCAAGUCUUAUAGAUUAUCAUUAAUCUAAUAAAAGGCAAAGCGAAAGCAAUGUUCUUUCUUAUUACGUGUUAAGUCCCUAUUCACACAGGGACUGCCACACAAGCUGUUUACGGUCAUAUUGUUAGAGCCUUUGUGCUGUGCAUAUGCAUUAACUUUUGCUUUUAUAGCUUUAGUUUAAUGGUUAAACAAGCUUAUAGAGCAAUUUAGUUGAGACCCGAAAGAUGGUGAACUAUGCCCGGACAUGGUGAAGCCAGGUGAAAACUUGGUGGAAGCUUGCGUUGUGCGGAACUGACGUGCAAAUCGUUGCCGCCUGAUCUGGGUAUAGGGGCGAAAGACUCAUCGAACCAUCUAGUAGCUGGUUCCCUCCGAAGUUUCCCUUAGGAUAGCUCGAUAUUAUUAGAUUAUAAUCUAUUAGAUUAUAAUACUGUGUAACGCAAGGGUAAAGCAAUGAGACGCGGUAUCUGUGGGUCUUAUCUUUAAUGACCUCGGCCUUCUCUCAAACUUUAAAUCUGUGCGAUUUCAUAUGCUUACUUAGAUUAACCUAUUAUUAGGUUAUAAGAAGCUAUGUUAUUCUAUUACUAUAAUCCUUAUUACAAUAUAAUACAAUAAAUCUAUUAGAUUUAUUAAAAGGAUUAUAAGUAAAUCAAUUGUAACUAAAUAUCGUAGUGGGCCAUUCCUGGUAAGCAGGACUGGCGAUGAGGGAUUCAACCUGACGUUUUCAAGAUAAGCCGGGCUUAAUCUUAUCUGCUCCAACCUUCCGAUAAACGCGAAAGGGUGUUCCGUGUGGUGCAGACAGCAGGACGGUGGCCAUGGAAGUUGGAAUCCGCGUAAGGAGUGUGUAACAACUCACCUGCAGAAUCACACCGCCCCGAAAACGGAUGGCGCUCAAGCAGUUAAUUUUUAAUAGAUUUAUUCUAUUAAAAGAAUACCCGACACUUGACCAUUGUUAUUAUAUCUUAUUAUUAUAAUACAAUGAGUAGGAGGUUAUCAAUCGCGUGUGGAUAUACUUACGUGUGUCUAAUUUUUUAAUAAGACACCACGUUUUGUUUACGCUUAGAAGCGGCAUCUCGUAAGAGGCCGUUGAGCUAUCCAUAGUGCAGAUCUUGGUACUAGUAGCAAGGAGUCUUACUGAGAUAUCUUAAAUGGUUAUAACCUACUUUAUUUAAAUAAAGUAAUAUAACCUUCUUUUAACCGAGGAUGACCGAAGCGGAGAAAGGUUCCAUGUUGCAGCUUAGUGCGACGUGGGUGAGUCAGUCCUAAGGCUAAUGUCUGAAACAGGCUUUCAAUUCUGUUACAUCUUUUGUUUAAAUUAUAUUUCUAUUACUUUGUAAUAGAUUUAUUACAUUUGACAAAUCGUAACGGUUGGCUAAACGGGAAUCGGGUUAAUAUUCUCGAACCACUGUAUGACAGUCUUAUUUUAACUCUAUUAAAAUAAUAAUAUCGCGGCAACGCUAAAGUUGGGUUGUUUAUUUUAAAACGACCUCAACCACAAGGCAAGUUACUUGAGGCGAGAAUCCUGACAGGGUUAUCUAACCUGUUUAACCUUUAUUGCUUAAAAAUCUAAUAGAUUUCUAAUCUAUUAAACAAAAAAAGUAAUAAUCUUAUAAUACUAAUACAAUAAACCAACAACCAAGUGUUGAGCGGCAUUUAGUGAACGAUGCACUUGGUUAUUUGCCCAUUAGUAAUGGGAAGAGCACUGGUGUCUGUAGAUUACUAUGUAUUACUUUUAUUUUCUAAUAAGAGUGGUAUCAUAUGUACUCUCAGGCAAUUUACCUGGUGUCUAUGGACUUCUUGUUCUCAGGCGUGAAAAGCUUGUCUCGUAUUAAGUAUUAAUAGGUUAUAAUACCCGGCUCUAGUAUAACCUAUUAUUCUAUUAAAAUAAAAUAACAAUACACUGCUACAGUGUCUGUACUCAUAACCGCAUCAGGUCUCCAAGGUUUGCAGCCUUUGGUCGUAUAGAAAUACGGUGGGUAAGGGAAGUCGGCAAAUUCGGUCCGUACUUACGAUACAAGGACUGGCUCCGAAGGUGAAUGAAUUCCAUUAGUUAUAUUAUAUUUUUAUUAUAAGCUAUUCGCUUUAAAUAAAAAGAAAUACUCUUUUAAAGAGUAUAAUAGCUAAUGCGUAUAUAUCCCAACCUUUGAGAACUGGCACGGACUCGGGGAAUCCGACUGUUUAAUUAAAACAUAGCAAAGUGCAAUGUUUCUCUAUGUAGAUUGAUUUGCCUUUAAAGAUUCGUCUUUAAUACUAUCUCAGUCGCAUUACUUUUUUUUAUUAGUCCGAAAUGGAUUUGAACACUUUGUGUAUUCUGCCCAGUGCUCUGCAAGUUAUUCUGUGUGGAUACAGCAUCUUAAGCGCGGGUCAACGGCGGGAGUAACUAUGACUCUCUUAAGGUAGCCAAAUGCCUCGUCAUUUAAUUGGUGACGCGCAUGAAUGGAUCAACGAGAUUCCCACUGUCCCUACUCACUCUCUAGCGAAAUUACAGCCAAGCCAACGGUCUUGAGAUAGUACUUGUGUGUGUAAUUAAUACAUAGUGUCACAAGACAUAAUUAUUGUAUUAUAAUAAGCACUUAUGGUCUAAUACAUUUACAAUACAGUGUCGUGUUAUUAUAACACCACGAUUGUAUUAGUUAUUAGAUAUUUGUUUAAUACAAUAAAUCUAAUAAACAACGUACAACAGCGGGGCAAGAAGACCCUUUUGAGCUUGACUCUAAUCUGUUAUUGUCAUCUGGUCGGCAUGGCGAAGAUUGUAAGAGGCAGUGCAUUUAUUUGUACGACCAUGAAACACCGCUACUUGACGAUUUGGCUGACUAACUGUAUAGGCAUUGCCUUUUUACAGUGUUAGAAACAACAUACAUUUCCGGUCUAAAAGAGCUUAUAAUACUUAUUGUAUUAUACUCUUAACCGUUUAUGUAAGCAUUGUGUCAUUCGUUUCUUUUAUUAUAACGACCAUUGUUCUCUUGUCUUAUUACGAUAGAAUUAUAUUAUUCUAUUUGUAAAAGGCUAUUAUUGUUAUAGCCUUAGACUUGUUGAAAUGACCUAUGCCAAUGAGCUACCAUUUUAAACAUAGCAUUACGAGCAUUGGACUACAAUGUCUGUAUUGAUUCUUUUUUAAUAGCUUUAUGCUGUUAAUAGGAAUACAAAUCUAAAGACAUAUACCCAUUAUAGCAAUUGUACAGGACAUUUGCAGAAUGGGAGUUUGGCUGGGGUGGCACAUCUGUUAGAAUGCAACACAGGUGUCCCAAGGGCAGCUCCGUGAGAACAGAAACCUCUCAUCGAGUAUAAGGGCAAAAGCUGUCUUAAUCUAAGUACCUUCAGUAACGGUACACAAUGAAAUAUAAUACUUGCCUGUCUUAUGUUUACUCGUAAACAUGUAUGGCUUGUCUAGUGUGAAAGCACGGCCUAGCGAUCCUUUAGUGAACGUAUGAAUUCUAUGGUAUUUACUUAUGCGUAAUACAUUCUCUUAACCGUAUUAAAUCUUUAACCAUUUAGCCUUAAAGAAUGUGUAUUUUACGAUUCUUAUCGUGGUUAUGCCAUUCUGUUUUUAAGUGUUAUAUUGGUAAUCUAUUAGGUUUAUUACUCUUAAAUAAAGAGUCUUAUUACCAUUUGACCUAUUACUUUUUGCGGCUAGAGGUGUCAGAAAAGUUACCACAGGGAUAACUGGCUUGUGGCCCCGGAGCGUUCAAAGCGAUGGGGCUUUUUGAUUCUUCGAUGUCGGCUCUUCCUAUCCUGCGGUUGCAUACGGCCGCAAGGGUAAGUUUGUUCACCUGCCAACAGGGAACGUGAG
RNAcentral lists this ribosomal RNA (4641 nucleotides) under Pulleniatina obliquiloculata. RNAcentral describes it as "partial 28S rRNA". It matches the Rfam family "Eukaryotic large subunit ribosomal RNA", at positions 1 to 2956 of the family's 3401-position model. Lineage: Eukaryota; Foraminifera; Rotaliida; Pulleniatinidae. The record is from RNAcentral.